AGGCAGUGUACUGCUAGCUGGCUGCCGUAUCUGGAUGGAGCAGUCACUCCUGCACUGCCAC
Molecule: microRNA precursor, 61 nt
Filed under: Columba livia (rock pigeon)
Lineage: Eukaryota; Metazoa; Chordata; Aves; Columbiformes; Columbidae
Description: Cli-Mir-34-P3b_pre stem-loop
Source: RNAcentral